This 253-nucleotide ribosomal RNA is filed under the name uncultured bacterium. RNAcentral describes it as "partial 16S ribosomal RNA". It matches the Rfam family "Bacterial small subunit ribosomal RNA", at positions 524 to 776 of the family's 1533-position model. The record is from RNAcentral.
UACAGAGGUGGCAAGCGUUGUUCGGAAUUACUGGGCGUAAAGGGCGCGUAGGCGGCCUUCUAAGUCAGACGUGAAAUCCCCAGGCUUAACUUGGGAACUGCGUCUGAUACUGGGAGGCUUGAAUGCGGGAGAGGGAUGUGGAAUUCCAGGUGUAGCGGUGAAAUGCGUAGAUAUCAGGAGGAACACCGGUGGCGAAGGCGGGAUCCUGGGCCAGUACUGACGCUGAGGAGCGAAAGCGUGGGGAGCAAACAGG